GCCCAGUGAUGAGACCAAGGCGAAUAUGAGCUCAUUGAGCGAGAGUUGGGUUCUUGUUGCCUUGAAUGGCAGGUAAUCUUGGCAGUGCAGAGGAGGAUUUCUGCUCUGCUGUAAGGGCCUGCCGACAGAGACUUAGCUCAGCCAGAAUUAUUCCUCUACAGUUACUGCGGAGUAAUUGCUUUGGCUGAUGCUGACAGUUUGUUUGUGUGUGUGUUGUAUGUGUGUGUGUGCAGAAGGCAAAAAGUUCACCCAGCUCUCUUUGCUGUUCGUUGAGCUGUGACUGUCGUCUUUGGUAAUCUGAGGGCA
This is a small nucleolar RNA of Xiphophorus couchianus (Monterrey platyfish), 306 nucleotides long. The record is from Ensembl. Lineage: Eukaryota; Metazoa; Chordata; Actinopteri; Cyprinodontiformes; Poeciliidae.